GGGCAGGCUAGGCCGGGAGGUUAGUCGUCUCCUGUAACCAUCAACCGACUUACGAUGGGGCUGAAGCCCGGGGAGAGGUCUGUCCAGGGCUUGCUGGUCUUGGCUUGGACAAUGAUACUCUGUCCUUAGGGACUGGCCUUACAGGGAAUCGGGUCAGGCUGGGAACAGAGCAGCCCUAACCAGUUCGGUUGGUGCUCUAAGGGUAGCGGAGUUGAGGAAAGGUCAAGGUUAAACCAUCAGGUUUUGGGCGGAUCCAUCUUUGGGCGUGCCUGCCU
Molecule: signal recognition particle RNA, 275 nt
Filed under: Nanobdellota archaeon
Lineage: Archaea; Nanobdellati; Nanobdellota
Description: signal recognition particle sRNA
Rfam family: Archaeal signal recognition particle RNA
Source: RNAcentral